UCUUCGACGUCCAUUUUUUCGAAAGAAGAAAACAAGAAAAUAUUAAUGAAAAAUCUACGAAUCGAUCAGAACAAUUCUUUCCAACAGAUAGAUCGAUAUGGUGGUCUCCUACUUGUUGAAUGAAAUAA
Molecule: long non-coding RNA, 128 nt
Organism: Polistes dominula (European paper wasp)
Lineage: Eukaryota; Metazoa; Arthropoda; Insecta; Hymenoptera; Vespidae
Source: RefSeq, a predicted model, not a curated record